CGCGGGGUAGAGCAGUUGGUAGCUCGUCGGGCUCAUAACCCGGAGGUCGAAGGUUCAAGUCCUUCCCCCGCUA
RNAcentral lists this transfer RNA (73 nucleotides) under Rikenellaceae bacterium. Its description in RNAcentral is "tRNA-Met". It matches the Rfam family "tRNA". From Rfam's summary of the family: Transfer RNA (tRNA) molecules are approximately 80 nucleotides in length. The record is from RNAcentral. RNAcentral also lists the same sequence under 1 other name. Lineage: Bacteria; Pseudomonadati; Bacteroidota; Bacteroidia; Bacteroidales; Rikenellaceae.